AGUGAACGCUGGCGGUAGGCCUAACACAUGCAAGUCGAACGGCAGCACAGUAAGAGCUUGCUCUUACGGGUGGCGAGUGGCGGACGGGUGAGGAAUACAUCGGAAUCUACUUUUUCGUGGGGGAUAACGUAGGGAAACUUACGCUAAUACCGCAUACGACCUACGGGUGAAAGCAGGGGAUCUUCGGACCUUGCGCGAUUGAAUGAGCCGAGGUCGGAUUAGCGAGUUGGCGGGGUAAAGGCCCACCAAGGCGACGAUCCGUAGCUGGUCUGAGAGGAUGAUCAGCCACACUGGAACGGCGACACGGUCCAGACUCCUACGGGAGGCAGCAGUGGGGAAUAUUGGACAAUGGGCGCAAGCCUGAUCCAGCCAUACCGCGUGGGUGAAGAAGGCCUUCGGGUUGUAAAGCCCUUUUGUUGGGAAAGAAAAGCAGCAGGUUAAUACCCCGCUGUUCUGACGGUAACCAAAGAAUAAGCACCGGCUAACUUCGUG
RNAcentral lists this ribosomal RNA (492 nucleotides) under uncultured bacterium. Its description in RNAcentral is "partial 16S ribosomal RNA". It matches the Rfam family "Bacterial small subunit ribosomal RNA", at positions 29 to 507 of the family's 1533-position model. The record is from RNAcentral.